This 495-nucleotide ribosomal RNA is filed under the name uncultured bacterium. RNAcentral describes it as "partial 16S ribosomal RNA". It matches the Rfam family "Bacterial small subunit ribosomal RNA", at positions 28 to 507 of the family's 1533-position model. The record is from RNAcentral.
GACGAACGCUGGCGGCGUGCCUAAUACAUGCAAGUAGAACGCUGAAGGAGGAGCUUGCUCUUCUGGAUGAGUUGCGAACGGGUGAGUAACGCGUAGGUAACCUGCCUGGUAGCGGGGGAUAACUAUUGGAAACGAUAGCUAAUACCGCAUAACAGUAGAUGUUGCAUGACAUUUGCUUAAAAGGUGCAAUUGCACCACUACCAGAUGGACCUGCGUUGUAUUAGCUAGUUGGUGGGGUAACGGCUCACCAAGGCGACGAUACAUAGCCGACCUGAGAGGGUGGUCGGCCAAACUGGGACUGAGACACGGCCCAGACUCCUACGGGAGGCAGCAGUAGGGAAUCUUCGGCAAUGGACGGAAGGCUGACCGAGCAACGCCGCGUGAGUGAAGAAGGUUUUCGGAUCGUAAAGCUCUGUUGUAAGAGAAGAACGAGUGUGAGAGUGGAAAGUUCACACUGUGACGGUAUCUUACCAGAAAGGGACGGCUAACUACGUG